RNAcentral lists this ribosomal RNA (401 nucleotides) under uncultured bacterium. Its description in RNAcentral is "bacterial SSU rRNA". It matches the Rfam family "Bacterial small subunit ribosomal RNA", at positions 356 to 773 of the family's 1533-position model. The record is from RNAcentral.
GGGGAAUCUUGCGCAAUGGGCGAAAGCCUGACGCAGCAACGCCGCGUGCGGGAUGAAGGCCCUCGGGUCGUAAACCGCUUUCGACAGGGAAGAAAAUGACGGUACCUGUAGAAGAAGCCCCGGCCAACUACGUGCCAGCAGCCGCGGUAAUACGUAGGGGGCGAGCGUUGUCCGGAUUUAUUGGGCGUAAAGAGCUCGUAGGCGGUUAACUAAGUCAGAUGUGAAAACUCAGGGCCUAACUCUGAGCCUGCAUUUGAUACUGGUUUGACUAGAGUCAAGUAGGGGAGUGUGGAAUUCCCAGUGUAGCGGUGAAAUGCGCAGAUAUUGGGAGGAACACCAGCAGCGAAGGCGGCACUCUGGGCUUGUACUGACGCUGAGGAGCGAAAGCAUGGGUAGCAAAC